UACGUAGGUGGCAAGCGUUGUCCGGAUUUACUGGGCGUAAAGGGCGUGCAGGCGGUUUGUUAAGUGCAGGGUGAAAGCUCCCGGCUUAACUGGGAGAGGCCGUUCAAAACUGAGAGGCUAGAGUGAGGAAGAGGAGAGCGGAAUUCCCGGUGUAGUGGUGGAAUGCGUAGAUAUCGGGAGGAACACCAGUGGCGAAAGCGGCUCUCUGGUCCUAAACUGACGCUGAGGGGCGAAAGCGUGGGGAGCGAACGGG
RNAcentral lists this ribosomal RNA (253 nucleotides) under uncultured bacterium. RNAcentral's name for it is "partial 16S ribosomal RNA". It matches the Rfam family "Bacterial small subunit ribosomal RNA", at positions 524 to 776 of the family's 1533-position model. The record is from RNAcentral.